GAUGAACGCUGGCGGCGUGCUUAACACAUGCAAGUCGAACGAUGAAGCCCAGCUUGCUGGGUGGAUUAGUGGCGAACGGGUGAGUAACACGUGAGUAACCUGCCCUUAACUCUGGGAUAAGCCUGGGAAACUGGGUCUAAUACCGGAUAGGAGCGCCUACCGCAUGGUGGGUGUUGGAAAGAUUUAUCGGUUUUGGAUGGACUCGCGGCCUAUCAGCUUGUUGGUGAGGUAAUGGCUCACCAAGGCGACGACGGGUAGCCGGCCUAAGAGGGUGACCGGCCACACUGGGACUGAGACACGGCCCAGACUCCUACGGGAGGCAGCAGUGGGGAAUAUUGCACAAUGGGCGAAAGCCUGAUGCAGCGACGCCGCGUGAGGGAUGACGGCCUUCGGGUUGUAAACCUCUUUCAGUAGGGAAGAAGCGAAAGUGACGGUACCUGCAGAAGAAGCACCGGCUAACUACGUG
Molecule: ribosomal RNA, 466 nt
Filed under: uncultured bacterium
Lineage: Bacteria
Description: partial 16S ribosomal RNA
Rfam family: Bacterial small subunit ribosomal RNA
Source: RNAcentral